AAGUUGUUUUAAAUUUUUAAAAAAAUAUAAGAUUCCUCUAAAUAGAAGAUUGUCUGUUGGUGGUGUUGUAAUGAAAUUAAGAAAUCACGUGUCAUCCAUAGUAACAGUGUAACACUGACGGAGAGAAAGCACAAUAACGAGUCACCGACAGUGGCGGCAAGGAAGCAAGAGGGCAAGUGAUAGUGAUAGAUAUGGUGGCAGCGAGGAAGGAUUCGAAUACCUAACUACUAAGCUUGGAAGAUGCUUAAGAACUUCUUAAUUUAUCCUUUUUUCCCUUCAAAUUUUACACUACAUAAAAUCCUUAAUGGUGAUACACUAAAUCACCAAAUAAUGACCGAUCAAAACAAUUACAUUUGUCACGAGACAGCAUUUUUCCAAGUUCGCACGAAAACCCUUUUCCACGGGUUUUGUUUCUCUCUCAUUGUUCAAAUCAACAUCCUCCAUUCCCUUUCUCUCUUCAUUCUUGUCGAUCUUGGUUUCUUCGCCGUUUUUUACCGUUUCAGAUCCAAGAUCCGUCCUUUUGGUAAUCUUAUCUUUUAAUAGAUUUCUACUGUUCAACUUCGUGUUCUCUCUACAAUAGUUCUUGAAACGUUGACGGAGAAGAGAUGAACGGAAUCGAAGUGAUACGGUGAUGGCUUGACCAAAGCUGUGUUACAGUGACACGAGUUUGCGAAGAAGAGUGAGGUCGUGGCUGUGAGUAGCGCUGUCGGCGGUUUGGAGCGAGGGAGAAUAAGUUUCACAAAUUGGGGAGAUACUGACGAGCGAGUUGUUAUGCAAGGCUGAACGGAGGGUGUUAUGGUGAACGAGUUGUUAUGCAAGGCUUAACGGAGGGUGUUAUGGUGAACGGCGUGAAGAUUGUGUGAAGAUGUUCAUGUUCAUUUUCUUCUUCCGGAUCCAGUUUUCCCUUUUCAUAUGAGAUCCAGUAAGCUGACGAUGGUGAAAAACCAAUAAUGAAGUAUGUGGAGAAUGCUGAGAAGGCAACAUAAGCAAUUGUUAGUGGGAAAUUUAAUCAGGUAAUUAAACAAUUAGUUAGGUUAUUUUAAGAUUCACUGUCUAAUGUUAACUUUUAGGCUAUGUUUGGAUAUCAUAAAAUCAACGGAGUGGAAUGGAGCGGAGUGGAGUGAGAUGGAGCGGAAUAGAACGAAGACACCAUUCUAUUGUUUGGAAAUUUUAAGUCGGAAUACUGUAAGUGGUUCAUUCUGCCCAAAUCGGAGGGAAAGAAAAAUGGUGGUAAGUGGUGAAGUGGAAUGAAAUCCAUACCACUCAUUCCGCUUGCUCCAUCCGUUUUUAAAUUAUCCAAACAAUGAAAAAUUAUUUUAUUCCAUCCCAUUGCACUACGCUCCAUCCAGUUCCAUCAAUCCAAACAAAGCCUUAGUUUCUAUUUUUUUUCCUUCUAGUGUGUAGAUUCGUGUCAACCUAACAAAUAGUGACAUGGUGAGACAUACCGGAGAUAUUGAAACAACCAUUGUGCCAUAUAAGGGAGUAUUAUUUAAGUUUUUUUCGUUUA
Long non-coding RNA from Vicia villosa (hairy vetch), 1507 nucleotides. RefSeq lists it as uncharacterized. NCBI's taxonomy places the organism in Eukaryota, Viridiplantae, Streptophyta, Magnoliopsida, Fabales, Fabaceae. The transcript has 2 exons. The record is from RefSeq and is a predicted model, not a curated record.